UUUCCGUAGGUGAACCUGCGGAAGGAUCAUUAAUGAGUUGUCAUGGGGUACGAUGCUGGCAGCCAGUUUUUGGAUGCAUGUGCUUGCCCUAACAAUCAUCUUCUUCCAAACACCUGUGCACAUUUUUGAGGGAGUCUUGAGUUGGUUGCCGCUCUUGGGUGAUUUUCUCACAUUCCCUUAAAUCAUUAUACGCUAUUAACAAUGUUGAACGUGCUCUGUACCGCAAGGCCAUUAAUAUAAUACAACUUUUAACAACGGAUCUCUUGGCUCUC
This 272-nucleotide unclassified non-coding RNA is filed under the name plant metagenome. Its description in RNAcentral is "partial contains small subunit ribosomal RNA, internal transcribed spacer 1, and 5.8S ribosomal RNA". The record is from RNAcentral.